This 253-nucleotide long non-coding RNA is filed under the name Theobroma cacao (cacao). RNAcentral's name for it is "long non-coding RNA (TCAC_LNC004605)". The record is from RNAcentral. Lineage: Eukaryota; Viridiplantae; Streptophyta; Magnoliopsida; Malvales; Malvaceae.
AAAUUCUCUCUCCUAAGGUUUGAUCAGCACACUAUCCUUCAUGAUAUCUUGUGAUUCAACCAUGAAAAAUGCAAAAUAAUGCAUAGGAAAGGUAGAUCACAAGCUAGAAUUAAAAAAUUUUACCUUUUUAAUGGCUUGAUUCCUUGAAAAUCAACAAUUUCCCUUUGAAUUUUUCUCUCUAGGGUUUUUGUUCUUCCUUUUUUCUCUUUUUCUCUCUUUGGCCGACCAAGAUAAAUGAGUUGGGAGGGUUAUG